Molecule: ribosomal RNA, 537 nt
Filed under: uncultured Protoventuria
Lineage: Eukaryota; Fungi; Ascomycota; Dothideomycetes; Venturiales; Venturiaceae
Description: eukaryotic LSU rRNA
Rfam family: Eukaryotic large subunit ribosomal RNA (bases 293-537)
Source: RNAcentral
AUCUCUUGAUUCUGGCAUCUCUGAGAAUCACCGCGUCAUGCGAUACGUAUUGUGCCUUGCGGAAUUCAGUGAAUCAUGCAAUCUUUGAACGCACAUUGUGCCCUCUGGUAUUCCUGGGGGGGUGCCUGUUCAAGCGUCUUUAUAACCACUCCCUCUCUCACUUGGUAUUGGGGUUCUCGCUUUCUCGCCCCCUAAAAUCAUUGGCGGCGCCUGUCUGCUUUACGCGUAAUACUACUCCUCGCGAUUGAUUCUUGCAGGUCUACUUGCCAACAACGCCUAGUUUUUUUAUGGUUGACCUCGGAUCAGGUAGGGAUACCCGCUGAACUUAAGCGUAUUGCUUUACUGACUAAAAGAGACCCACCGGGAUUUCCUCUUUAACAGCGAGUGAAGCUGGAACCCCUCUUAUUUUAAAGCUGGGUCUUUUCGGGGACGCCUCUUCAUUUGUUUAAUAUGCUUCGGGUGUGGCCCCGGGCUAGAUUCCUUGGAACAGGACGUCGUACAUGGUGAUAAUCCCUGACGUGACCGAGUGCUUUCGCU